GGCGGCAGCUUACCAUGCAAGUCGAGCGGUAACAGGGGGUGCUUGCACCCCGCUGACGAGCGGCGGACGGGUGAGUAAUGCAUAGGAAUCUGCCCAGUAGUGGGGGAUAGCCCGGGGAAACCCGGAUUAAUACCGCAUACGCCCUUUGGGGGAAAGCAGGGGAUCUUCGGACCUUGCGCUAUUGGAUGAGCCUAUGUCGGAUUAGCUAGUUGGUGGGGUAAAGGCCUACCAAGGCGACGAUCCGUAGCUGGUCUGAGAGGAUGAUCAGCCACAUCGGGACUGAGACACGGCCCGAACUCCUACGGGAGGCAGCAGUGGGGAAUAUUGGACAAUGGGGGCAACCCUGAUCCAGCCAUGCCGCGUGUGUGAAGAAGGCUUUCGGGUUGUAAAGCACUUUCAGUGAGGAGGAAAACCUUCUGGUUAAUACCCAUGAGGCUUGACGUUACUCACAGAAGAAGCACCGGCUAACUCCGUGCCAGCAGCCGCGGUAAUACGGAGGGUGCAAGCGUUAAUCGGAAUUACUGGGCGUAAAGCGCGCGUAGGUGGUUUGAUAAGCGAGAUGUGAAAGCCCCGGGCUUAACCUGGGAACGGCAUUU
This 596-nucleotide ribosomal RNA is filed under the name Marinobacter sp. RNAcentral's name for it is "bacterial SSU rRNA". It matches the Rfam family "Bacterial small subunit ribosomal RNA", at positions 38 to 628 of the family's 1533-position model. The record is from RNAcentral. Lineage: Bacteria; Pseudomonadati; Pseudomonadota; Gammaproteobacteria; Pseudomonadales; Marinobacteraceae.